RNAcentral lists this long non-coding RNA (1439 nucleotides) under Mus musculus (house mouse). RNAcentral's name for it is "long non-coding RNA chr16:45198757-45200196". The record is from RNAcentral. Lineage: Eukaryota; Metazoa; Chordata; Mammalia; Rodentia; Muridae.
UGUUCCCUGCACAAAGAAACUCAUCUGAUGAGGCCUGAGAGCUGCACUAAUCUAUAGGUACAGAGAUGAAUUUAGAGAGCAGUUUGACACUAGGUCAAUUUAACAAAAUAAUAAUAGUAGGUUGACCCCUGGGGCCUAUUAACUAGACCUAACUGUAGGUUCUUGUUUAGCUUUACAAUACCAGCCAUUUAUUUCCUGUGGAGAAAGCCUUUAAAAACUGCCCAUAUUUAAAUUAUGGUUUUUUUUUCUGUUGAAUUAUAGACACCUCAUGUAUUUUUGACAUAAAUUCAUAUUAGCUACAUGGGUUGAAAGUAUUUUCCCCAAGCCUUUUCAGUCUUGGUUGUUUUGUUGGUAGUUUAAUUUCUUUCAAACUAUACAUCUACAUCGAGAUAAAACAAUUCUAGCCUAGAGUCUUCCAUUCCCAUCCAAAUGGAACAAGUUUUAAAAAGACUUGUACAAGAAUGUUCACAGUGUCUUGUUUUUAAAAAAGAUGGCAAUGGGAAAAAGCCCAGGUGACCUUAUGGAACAAUUAAUAAACUAUGGGACUUAGCAUAGAUUGCAUUCCCACUGAGAAUGCCCUAGAGAUGCAGUUGCUAAGAAAACCUCACAAAUAUCUGGUGGCAUUCGUCUUUGCUGUUAAACAUUUUCUGCCUGUAGUAGUAACUUGUGGUCUCUAAUUUGCACUUCCAUAAUUGUGGUGACCAUAUUUUCAUAUAUGUACUGCCCCUUCAUGGAUCUUUAAAAAAAUGUCUAUGCAAAUUUAUUUCCUGUUUUUCAGUUGGAUUUUUAGUAACUUGUUCAAGUGUGGGUUUUAUAUACCCUAUAUACUAGACUUUUAGUUUAUGUAUGUUUUGCAAAUAAUUUUAGUUUGUGAAUUGACUGUUCGUUUCUUUUUUUCUUUUUCUUUUUUGUUGUUGUUUGAGAUGUUUGUUUGUUUGCUUGUUUGUUUGUUUGUUUUUCAGACAGGGUCUCAUGAUAUAGGCUUGGCUGACCUGCAGCUUGCUAUGUAGAUCAAGCUGAUCUCAAACACAAGAGGUCUUCCAGCCCCUGCCUGCUAGAAAUAAAGACAUGUACCACAAUACCAGUCUUCGUUUUCCUAGAUGUAGUUUUUGAAGAAUACAAAUUUUAGUUAAAUUUUUAUGAGGCUAGGUUUCUAAUUUUUUCUCUAGUGUUGCUUCUAUACUCUGCCCAGAAAUCAUUCUACACUUAAAUUGUUAGAAAAAAAAUGGGUUAUCUUGCCAGAAUCACCCCUGUUACUGGGUAAAUUAGGGUUCUCUCUUGAUGUUCUUAGUCUUGUUAAUAAAAGAACUUUAUAAUGGAAUCAAAAUAAAAGCUUGAGAAAUUUUAUUAGAGUUUUAAAAUUAAAUGAAAGCAAACAAGCUGCAAAUCUUGGCUGCCUAGAGGAGAGAGAGAGAAGCAAGCAAGCAAGCAAGCAAGCA